RNAcentral lists this non-coding RNA (31 nucleotides) under Mus musculus (house mouse). Lineage: Eukaryota; Metazoa; Chordata; Mammalia; Rodentia; Muridae. The record is from RNAcentral.
UAUCUGACAUCAAAGGAGAAUGUCUAAUGGU